ACUUUUCGGUGGCAAUUGCGAAGAGGAGACACCCGUUCCCAUCCCGAACACGGAAGUUAAGCUCUUUAGCGCCGAUGGUACUGCUCGGGCGACUGAGUGGGAGAGUAGGACGCCGCCGAAUUUU
This 124-nucleotide ribosomal RNA is filed under the name Olavius algarvensis associated proteobacterium Delta 3. Lineage: Bacteria; Deltaproteobacteria. The record is from RNAcentral.